AGUGAACGCUGGCGGCGUGCUUAACACAUGCAAGUCGAACGAGAACGGAUUAUAGCUUGCUAUAAUUGUCAGCUAAGUGGCGCACGGGUGAGUAAUGUAUAGGUAAUAUGCCUCUUACUAAGGGAUAACAAAUGGAAACGUUUGCUAAUACCUUAUACUCCUUAUUAACAUAAGUUAAUAAGGGAAAGAUUUAUUGGUAAGAGAUUAGCCUGUAUUGUAUCAGUUAGUUGGUGGGGUAAUGGCUUACCAAGACUAUGACACAUAACUGGUUUGAGAGGAUGAUCAGUCACACUGGAACUGAGACACGGUCCAGACUCCUACGGGAGGCAGCAGUGGGGAAUAUUGCACAAUGGACGAAAGUCUGAUGCAGCAACGCCGCGUGGAGGAUGACACAUUUCGGUGCGUAAACUCCUUUUAUAUGAGAAGAUAAUGACGGUAUUAUAUGAAUAAGCACCGGCUAACUCCGUG
Molecule: ribosomal RNA, 468 nt
Filed under: uncultured bacterium
Lineage: Bacteria
Description: bacterial SSU rRNA
Rfam family: Bacterial small subunit ribosomal RNA
Source: RNAcentral